This 70-nucleotide transfer RNA is filed under the name Marmota monax (woodchuck). Its description in RNAcentral is "tRNA.Ala". The record is from RNAcentral. Lineage: Eukaryota; Metazoa; Chordata; Mammalia; Rodentia; Sciuridae.
GAUGUUGUGACCCAGUGGUAGAGCACUCACCUAGCACAUGUGGGUGCUGGGUUCGAUCCUCAGCACCACA